AGCGAACGCUGGCGGCAGGCUUAACACAUGCAAGUCGAGCGGGCGUAGCAAUACGUCAGCGGCAGACGGGUGAGUAACGCGUGGGAACAUACCUUUUGGUUCGGAACAACACAGGGAAACUUGUGCUAAUACCGGAUAAGCCCUUACGGGGAAAGAUUUAUCGCCGAAAGAUUGGCCCGCGUCUGAUUAGCUAGUUGGUGAGGUAACGGCUCACCAAGGCGACGAUCAGUAGCUGGUCUGAGAGGACGAUCAGCCACACUGGGACUGAGACACGGCCCAGACUCCUACGGGAGGCAGCAGUGGGGAAUCUUGCGCAAUGGGCGAAAGCCUGACGCAGCGACGCCGCGUGCGGGAAGAAGGCCUCGGUU
Molecule: ribosomal RNA, 368 nt
Filed under: uncultured bacterium
Lineage: Bacteria
Description: bacterial SSU rRNA
Rfam family: Bacterial small subunit ribosomal RNA
Source: RNAcentral